CAUGCAGGAAAGUGCACAUGAAGGGAAAAAAAUGGCUUUGCUAAAUCCAGUCCUAUGGAAAGCGGAGUCCUGUGUAGCUCCUAAGUACAAAGGAAGAAAUAGUUGAAAAUAAUCUACUUUAGUUGAAUUAAGGAAGCUAAGUAUUACUGCAGGAACCUAAGAAAAACCCCUUUGACUUCCUGGAAACUGAAAGAAGUUUUUUUGAAGAAGUAAUUGUCUCUGACAUCACUACAGUGCAUUGUGAGUUUGUGAGUGGUUAGUUAGGGUAACAGAGGAAGCAACUCCUUCACAGAUAAGCUGGCAGUGCAAUAGAGAGACACAUGCUGUUUCAUAAGGAUACACCUGAUUUCCAGAAAUAACCAUGUUUUUGUGGCUUAAACUCUUAGCAUUUGGUGUUGCAUUUCUGGGACAGGAUGCUUUUCUCAAAGGGCAGGAGACAACAACGAUCGCACCUGGUGCCAGCCUCGCACACAGCACGCACUUCUCCAGCCCCGGCACGGCCCCGAGCAGCCCGGCACGCAGCAGCAGCCCUGCUGCCCUCACCGCACGCACCCCCUCUGCCUUCGGGGAUGCUUCUGCAGAUGAUAACAAUUCAACAUCCUUGCACAGCACCACCUCAUCAGUCAACAUGCCAGCAAGCACUGGGAUCAGCCCCACUCUCAGCUCCACUCACACAAUAGAAACUACCACAGUGAUACCUGAAGCAUCUUGUGAUAUUAUCAAAAACAUAGAAGACUCUGAGAACGACUCUAAAAUGGCUUCAGUUUUACUGAACAUUCCCACAGAAGACAAAGAAUAUAUUAUUUUGGGGGAUGGCAUAGACAUAACUGUGAGUUCCAGCAACAAAUCAGUAGAGCUUCCAAAAUGCCAGAAUUACACUGUUAAAGUUAAAAAUGGCAAGUGUUCAGACAGUACUUCUUCUUCUUUUCUUGUUCCAAAAGUUGCCAAUGAACCUCUUCAAGUCAACAACCAAGGCAACACCUCUGCCAGGUUAUGUUGGAGUAUCUCACUUGCCUGUGCUAAUGUGACUGUUACCUGCAAUGGGACACUUUCAAUGUAUUCUGAAAGUGGGUUAUUUAUUUAUUUAUCUUUAAAAUCAUUAUUGAUGUUGUAUUUUGAUGAAAGACUGGCAGAUUUAAUU
RNAcentral lists this long non-coding RNA (1141 nucleotides) under Lonchura striata (white-rumped munia). RNAcentral's name for it is "domestica (Bengalese finch) lncRNA (ENSLSDG00000003285.1)". The record is from RNAcentral. Lineage: Eukaryota; Metazoa; Chordata; Aves; Passeriformes; Estrildidae.